UAUAUGGAGGGUUUGAUCCUGGCUCAGGACUAACGCUGGCGGCGUGUCUUAGACAUGCAAGUCGAACGGGUUGCUAUUUUGUAGCAAUACAGAAUAGCGCUAGUGGCGAACGGGUGAGUAAUGUAAAAGUAACCUACCUCAGAGUGGAGCAUAACCCCGAGAAAUCGGGGCUAAUUCUCCAUACAAUCCUUGCACAUAAGUGUUUGGAUGAAAGGUCUCGGCCGCUCCGAGAGGGGCUUUUAUCCUAUCAGCUAGUUGGUGGAGUCAAUGACCACCAAGGCUAUGACGGGUAGGGGGUGUGAGAGCAUGACCCCCCACAUGGGAACUGAGACACGGUCCCAACUCCUACGGGAGGCAGCAGUCUAGAAAUUUGGGCAAUGGGCGCAAGCCUGACCCAGCGACGCCGCGUGAGGGAUGACGUCCUUCGGGAUGUAAACCUUUGUUGAGGGGGACGAUGAUGACGGUACCCCUCGAGGAAGCCUCGGCUAACUCCGUGCCAGCAGCCGCGGUAAUACGGAGGAGGCAAGCGUUGUCCGGAAUCACUGGGCGUAAAGGGUGUGUAGGUGUCCUGGUGGGUCAGAUGUGAAAUCCAACCGCUCAACGGUUGAAUGGCAUUUGAAACUAUCAGGAUAGAGGACACUAGGGGAGAGUGGAACUCGCGGUGUAGCGGUAGAAUGCGUGGAUAUCGCGAGGAAUGCCGAUGGCGAAGGCGGCUCUCUAGGGUGUUCUUCGUAUGAAGAGUUGUUCAGUUUAUAUCUUCGGAUUAAGAUUGAACGAUCCUGACACUGAAACACGAAAGCUGGGGGAGCGAACGGGAUUAGAUACCCCGGUAGUCCCAGCCAUAAACGAUGUACACUUGGCAUGUGCUAGCAAUAGUGCGUGCCGUAGGUAACCUGUUAAGUGUACCGCCUGGGGAGUAUGCUCGCAAGGGUGAAACUCAAAGGAAUUGACGGGGACCCGCACAAGCGGUGGAGGAUGUGGUUUAAUUCGAGGCAACGCGAAGAACCUUACCUGGGCUUGACAUGCUGGUAGUACGGAGCCGAAAGGCAAAGGAUCUCACCUCUGGUGAGAAGUCAGCACAGGUGCUGCAUGGCUGUCGUCAGCUCGUGCCGUGAGGUGUUAGGUUAAGUCCUGUAACGAGCGCAACCCCUGCUCUUAGUUGCCAUUUUGUCUUCGGAUGAAGGCACUCUAAGAGGACUGCCGCAGAUAAUGUGGAGGAAGGUGGGGAUGAUGUCAAGUCAUCAUGGUCUUUAUACCCAGGGCUACACACGUCCUACAGUGCCUAUUACAGCGGGAAGCUAAGCCGAAAGGUGGAGCAGAUCCUUCAAAGAUAGGCACGGUUCGGAUUGAGGGCUGCAAUUCGCCCUCAUGAAGGCGGAAUCGCUAGUAAUCGCAGAUCAGCACGCUGCGGUGAAUACGUUCUCGGGUCUUGUACACACCGCCCGUCAAGCCAUGGAAGUUCACAAUACCUGAAGUCUCUCCUCGUGAGGGCCCAAGGUAGGGUGGAUGACUGGGGCUAAGUCGUAACAAGGUAGCCGUACGGGAACGUGCGGCUGGAUCACCUCCUUU
This 1569-nucleotide ribosomal RNA is filed under the name Caldifarciminota bacterium. RNAcentral's name for it is "bacterial SSU rRNA". It matches the Rfam family "Bacterial small subunit ribosomal RNA". Lineage: Bacteria; Pseudomonadati; Caldifarciminota. The record is from RNAcentral.